GAUGAACGCUGGCGGCGUGCCUAAUACAUGCAAGUCGAGCGAACAGACGAGGAGCUUGCUCCUCUGACGUUAGCGGCGGACGGGUGAGUAACACGUGGAUAACCUACCUAUAAGACUGGGAUAACUUCGGGAAACCGGAGCUAAUACCGGAUAAUAUAUUGAACCGCAUGGUUCAAUAGUGAAAGACGGUUUUGCUGUCACUUAUAGAUGGAUCCGCGCCGCAUUAGCUAGUUGGUAAGGUAACGGCUUACCAAGGCGACGAUGCGUAGCCGACCUGAGAGGGUGAUCGGCCACACAGGAACUGAGACACGGUCCAGACACCUACGGGAGGCAGCAGUAGGGAAUCUUCCGCAAUGUGCGAAAGCCUGACGGAGCAACGCAGCGUGAGUGAUGAAGGUCUUCGGAUCGUAAAACUCUGUUAUUAGGGAAGAACAAAUGUGUAAGUAACUAUGCACGUCUGGACGGUACCUAAUCAGAAAGCCACGGCUAACUACGU
RNAcentral lists this ribosomal RNA (496 nucleotides) under uncultured bacterium. Its description in RNAcentral is "partial 16S ribosomal RNA". It matches the Rfam family "Bacterial small subunit ribosomal RNA", at positions 28 to 506 of the family's 1533-position model. The record is from RNAcentral.